CACAACACCAGAUAAAUUGUUUGAUUGGAAGUUGAGAAUUUGAAGAUUCUUGAGGCUAGAUAGAGUGCUUGGAAUGGAGCCUCGCAAUUUGUUUGAUGAAAGUUCUAACUCGAUCAGUUCGGAACAAUUGUUAGUUUGUGAUGGGAUUUGACCUGAAAAUUGAUUAGAGCUCAAAGAUAAGACUUGAAUGCGUGCUCCGUAAAUUAAGGACGAUGGGAUUUGACCACUAAAAUGAUUAUGGUCUAAAAAUAAAACAACAAGCUUGGUUAGGUUCAUGAGCCAAGAAGGGAUUGGUCCAACAAGUUGAUUAUAGCUCAAAUCCAGAAAUGAAAGUUGAGUCAGGUUCUUGAGCGAAGAUGGAAAAUCACCAUUCAAUCCGACAUGAACGAGAGAAAGGGUUUUGAGGUUUGACAGUUUACCAAUCCAAGACAAGGAAUAUCUGGAUUUCUACUCUUGCAAUUUCACCGGACUGCUUCCUUCUUCACUCGGUAACCUUACCAAGCUUACCCGUCUCAAACU
Molecule: unclassified non-coding RNA, 519 nt
Filed under: Hevea brasiliensis (rubber tree)
Lineage: Eukaryota; Viridiplantae; Streptophyta; Magnoliopsida; Malpighiales; Euphorbiaceae
Source: RNAcentral